UCAAUGGCUCAGGAAUGAACGCUACCGGCAGGCUUAAUACAUGCAAGUCGGAGGGGCAAGCAUGAACUAGCAUAGUUUUGAAUGGCGACCGGGCAAACGGGUGCGGAACAACGGUACACAACCUUCCUUUAAGUGGGGAAUAGCCCAGAGAAAUUUGGAUUAAUACCCCGUAACACAACGGAAGUGGCAUCACUUUUGUUGUUAUAGUUUCGGCGCUUAAUGAUGGGUGUGCGUAUGAUUAGAUAGUUGGCGAGGUAACGGCUCACCAAGUCUACGAUCAUUAGCUGAUGUGAGAGCAUGAUCAGCCACACGGGCACUGAGACACGGGCCCGACUCCUACGGGAGGCAGCAGUAAGGAAUAUUGGUCAAUGGACGCAAGUCUGAACCAGCCAUGCCGCGUGAAGGAUUAAGGUCCUCUGGAUUGUAAACUUCUUUUAUAUGGGACGAAAAAAGGUCUUUCUAGACCCCUUGACGGUACCAUAUGAAUAAGCACCGGCUAACUCCGUGCCAGCAGCCGCGGUAAUACGGAGGGUGCAAGCGUUAUCCGGAUUCACUGGGUUUAGAGGGUGCGUAGGCGGGUAGGUAAGUCAGUGGUGAAAUCCUGGAGCUCAACUCCAGAACUGCCAUUGAUACUAUCUAUCUUGAAUAUU
RNAcentral lists this ribosomal RNA (650 nucleotides) under uncultured Crater Lake bacterium CL0-11. Its description in RNAcentral is "bacterial SSU rRNA". It matches the Rfam family "Bacterial small subunit ribosomal RNA", at positions 16 to 650 of the family's 1533-position model. The record is from RNAcentral.